GCGGUGGAGGAUUCGGUUUUCCUGGCGGCGGAGGCGGAUAUCCGGGUGGUGGAGGUGGUUAUCCGGGCGGUGGUGGUGGAUAUCCGGGCGGGGGUGGGGGGUUUCCGGGGGGGGAAGGGGCAGUGAAGGAGGUGGGGGAGGAUUUUUCCAUGUGAAUUAUAUGAAGAAGAGACCUACACCUUCAGUGGUUUAUCAGCAGAGACCAGGGGCUUCGGAGGCUGUUCAAUUCGGUGAAUCAUCUUCUUCUUCUUCCGCUUAUUAUUACAAUCAGCCUAGUAAUAGCAAUAAUCCUUAUCCUGUUGAUAAUUCAAGCUCUUAUUCCUACUUCGGCUACGGUGGGGGGGGGGGGGGGGGGGGGGGGGGGGGCCCGCAGACACCACGGGUGGUGGUGGAGGUGGAGGGUAUGGUCCUCCGCCUACAUACGGCGGAUCUUCAUCUAUGCCACCACCACCGCAGGCGGCUGCUUCAUCGUCGAAGCCACCGCCAGCUCCGCCGUCGCCUCCCAGAGCUUCCGCUUGGGAUUUCUUGAAUCCGUUUGAGAGCUACGACAGCUUCUAUCCGUCGAAUCCUUCGAAUCCUCCGAGCAGGGACUCGAGGGAUGUUAGGGAAGAGGAAGGGAUUCCUGAUUUGGAGGAUGAGGAUUUACAACACGAGGUUGUCAAGGAAGUACAUGGUGAUCCUAAGUACGUUGAAGAUAGUGAUCAUGACCGCGGUUAUUCGAAAUCGGUAAUGAUGGAUGAUGAAGAGGAGGAGGUCAAAGGUGGUAAAGUUGGUGAAGCUGAGGCAUCUCUUUAUCAGACUAGGCCUAGCGUGUCGAUGGAAACUGAUAGACCUGAGUAUGAGGUUCAUGUUGUGGAAAAGAAAGUUGUUGAUAAGGAGAAAUCCUCUGAUGAUCGUGGCAAUGGCGGUGGCGGAGGGUUCAAGGGACGAGCAGGGUGGAGAGAUGUACGUCAAGUUGCUGUCGAAAUCAAGAUUCAGUUUGAGAGGGCUUCUGAUUACGGUAAUGAAAUCGCUAAGAUGCUGGAAGUUGGGAAGCUCCCUUAUCAGCGAAAACACGGUAGGCAUUGUCGAAUUGAUCACAUCCUUAUAGCUUAUGGAGUUGUGGACUGAAAGUUUGUUCCUUUUGAAUCAAUGCUUUAUGUUGAGCGAUUUGACUUACAGUCUUCUAGUGAAAUCAAUGCUUUAUGUUGAGCGAUUUGACUUACAGUCUUCUGGUAACUUUGUUGGCAGUUUCAAAGAAGUUGCACAGUGUUGCUACACCAUUGUCGUUAAUGUCCACACCACCAUCCGCUUCUAAUAGUUUGGAGGCUUCUUCCUCCAAUGACGGUGCUGGUCCAGCUUACUUGGAGAUGGAAGAAGAAUUGGCUGUGAGAUCGAAGAAUCUUUCUUCUACCUUGCAAAAACUUCAUCUUUGGGAGAAGAAGCUCUACACUGAAGUGAAGGUACGUUACAUUGUCUAUAUGCUGAUACAGCUAAAUACAUGUGUCCUGCAAAGUUGCUCUCUUUAUGCUGAUAGAGCUCAUAAUUCCUCUUGCCAGGCUGAGGAGAAAAUGAGGGUAAUCCACGACAGGAAGUGCCGAAAGCUGAAACGUUUAGAUGAGAGGGGUGCUGAAGCUCACAAAAUUGACGAUACUCGAAAAUUGAUAAGGGAUCUGUCAACCAAAAUAAGAAUUGCAAUUCAGGUUGUCGACAAGAUCUCCGUCACAAUAAACAAAAUCAGAGAUGACGAGCUAUGGCCGCAGCUGAAUGAUCUGAUUCUAGGGUAUGCUUGCUUUCUCACUGCCACUGGCUCUCUCUCUCUCUUUUAUGUUUUUGACCCAACGCUGAGCAUGUUUACCUACGUGAUAUAUAACUUCAUUGCUAUCUGCAGGUUGAGUAGAAUGUGGAAAAAUAUGCUCGAAUGCCAUGGAAUUCAGUGCCAAGCGAUAAAGGAAGCAAAAGGGUUAGGUCCAAUGGGGUCGGGGAAGAAGCUGAGUGAUGAUCAUCUCCAAGCUACACUGCAGCUUGAGCAACAACUGCUUAAUUGGACUUCCAGUUUCUCUAGUUGGGUUGGAGCUCAGAAGGGUUACGUGAAAGCCUUGAAUAAUUGGCUGGUGAAAUGUCUCCUCUACGAACCCGAAGACACUCCCGACGGAGUGCCUCCCUUUUCGC
Molecule: long non-coding RNA, 2151 nt
Filed under: Linum usitatissimum (flax)
Lineage: Eukaryota; Viridiplantae; Streptophyta; Magnoliopsida; Malpighiales; Linaceae
Description: long non-coding RNA (LUSI_LNC003604)
Source: RNAcentral